GCUAACACGUGACAAGCAGCGGGGGGCAUACGGAGGGGGCAAGCGUGAAACGUGAGGACUGGGCGUGAAGCGCACGCAGGCGGGCUGUGAAGUCGGAUGGGAAAUCCCCUGGCGCAACCUGGGAACUGCAUUCGAAACUGGCAGGCUAGAGGCUUGUAGAGGGGGGUAGAAUUCCAGGUGUAGCGGUGAAAUGCGUAGAGAUCUGGAGGAAUACCGGUGGCGAAGGCGGCCCCCUGGACAAAGACUGACGCUCAGGUGCGAAAGCGUGGGGAGCAAACAGGAUUAGAUACCCCUGUAGUC
RNAcentral lists this ribosomal RNA (300 nucleotides) under uncultured Ferroglobus sp. RNAcentral describes it as "bacterial SSU rRNA". It matches the Rfam family "Bacterial small subunit ribosomal RNA", at positions 496 to 795 of the family's 1533-position model. The record is from RNAcentral. Lineage: Archaea; Methanobacteriati; Methanobacteriota; Archaeoglobi; Archaeoglobales; Archaeoglobaceae.